Ciona intestinalis (vase tunicate) is the source of this 613-nucleotide non-coding RNA. Lineage: Eukaryota; Metazoa; Chordata; Ascidiacea; Phlebobranchia; Cionidae. The record is from RefSeq and is a predicted model, not a curated record.
AGGAUAACAGUUAAUUAUUUGAAGAACUAAAUAAUCAUAUGACUGAUUCUUCUGUAAUGGACAACCAUGUGUUUCACCUUAUAAAAUCACUUGCAUUGGCAUAUUGCAAAAUUCGGUUUCAUCAUCUAGGUAAGGAAUUCAAUCAAACUAUUGCUGGACAAUUGAGACUUGGAUCAACUGGCUGGUAGAGAUUAGUUUCCACCAAUGAUGAAUGUCCAGACAUUCCUCUUAACUGGAAACCUCCCACACAAACAAUUGGAUACUCAUUGGACCAAACAGCGAAAUUUUCUUUUUGCGUUAUCACCAUUAUAUACUUAAUACUCAACACAUUAACUAAGCCACCUAUUCCAUCCUAAAAUUAUUUACUUGCACCAAUUUGUACAUGUGUUUGUUAUAUAACCAUAUUUUUAUUUUGAUAGUAUGAUACUAUAAUGUAAUCAUUAUGUUAUCUGUAAAUGUGCACCUGAAACAGUAUACUGUGUACUUGGUGGAAUUUCUUUUUGGGGGUUUUGUUUUUCCAUCAUGAUCCAAUUUUUAGAUCAAACUUCUUUAAAGCCAACUCCCCCCAUCGCACGGGUCGUUUCUUUACGCAAACUUUGAAUACAUUUGUUUU